UCAUUACUCUCGCUCUCACUCUCACUCUUGUUUUGGAUUAUUAUUAUGCUGAUUUGAUAUUUCAUUCAUUCACCUUUUUCUGUUCUUUUUUUUUUUUUUUCAAAUUUGAUACAAAUGCUAGUCCCUAGAAUCAAUAAGGGUUUCAUAGACUCUUCGGUAUGUCCAUGAUGAAGGCUUUGGUUAAUGACAUUUUUGUACGAGUAAUACUGGGGAUACCAAUAAUUGAGUUCCCACAGAUGUGGCAUUCAAUUAAUAGAUGGCAGAAUAUUAAUUUUACCAAUUAUGAAAUUCAUUAUCUGUGAAAAUAGGUAGAGAAAAAGUUUAUGGAACAAUUCUUAAUUUUAUUACUUCAUGAGUUUGUACACAGUCUUAAUAUAGGGAUACAAGAGACUAAGAAAGGAAAGGAAAAAAAUUAAAGCAGAAUAUUACACACUGAUUUCUAGGAAGCAAUAACUCUAUAUUUACACCAAAUAUACACCUAAAUAUAUAAGGAAAACCAAAUCACAAUUUGAUUUGGUCAACCUUUCAACACUCCCCCUCAAGCUGGUCUAAAAAUGUCUUUCAAGGCCAGCUUGCAAACCAAUUUCUCAAAAUGUUUCUUAGGUAGUCCCUUGGUGAGUAUAUCAGCAAUCUGCUCAUUUGUAGGAAUGUAGGGCAUGCAGACCAAACCACUGUCCAGUUUUUCUUUUAUGAAGUGUUUGUCCACUUCAACAUGUUUAGUUCGGUCGUGGAGUACUGGAUUAUGUGCUAUUGCAAUGGCAGAUUUGUUGUCACAAUAUACUUUCAUAGGUAGAGAAUUACUUGCCUUAAGUUCUUCAAGAAUUUUUUUGAUCCAAAAAACCUCACAAAUUCCUAGAGCUACUGCUCUAUAUUCUGCCUCUGCACUAUUCCUUGCUACCACAGUUUGUUUCUUGCUGCGCCAAGUGACCAAAUUUCCUCCAACAAAGGUGCAGUAACCAGAAGUGGAUCUUCUAUCGGUUACACUACCAGCCCAGUCAGCAUCAGUGUAGACUUCCACUUGUAGGUGCCCGUUUUUUCUGGACAAAAGACCUUUACCCGGAGAUCCUUUUAAGUAUCUAAGGAUUCUAUAUACAGUUUCAAAGUGUUCUGGUCCUGGAGCAUGCAUAAACUGGCUGACUAAGCUCACUGCAAAGGCUAUGUCCGGGCGUGUAUGUGAAAGGUAGAUUAAUCUACCUACAAGGCGUUGGUACCGAUCUAUGUUGGUCACAUCUUCAAUUUUAGCUGGCUGUAAUUUCAUAUUAGAAUCUAUGGGUGUCUCGGCUGCUUUACAUCCGAGUAGACCUGUCUCUUCAAGCAAAUCAAGAACAUACUUGCGUUGAGACACAACAAUCCCAUCUUUUGAUCUAGCAAACUCCAUGCCCAAAAAAUACUUCAGGCUGCCUAAGUCUUUGAUUUCAAAGUCACGUGCAAGCACUUUCUUUAAUCUGCAAAUCUCAACUAAGUCAUCACCAGUCAAAAUUAUAUCAUCUACAUAUACAAUUAACACGGCUAAUUUCCCUUCAAUAGAAUGUUUGUAAAACAUUGUAUGAUCUGCCUGACUUUGGGAGUAGCCGUGUCCCUUCAUAACAUUACCAAAGCGUUCAAACCAUGCUCUAGGAGACUGUUUGAGCCCAUACAAAGACUUAUGUAGUUUACACACUUUACUGCUGCCAUGAUUUCCCCCAAAACCUGGUGGUAAAUCCAUAAAGACUUCUUCUUCUAGCUCCCCAUUCAGAAAAGCAUUUUUAACAUCUAACCUUCAUAACAUUACCAAAGCGUUCAAACCAUGCUCUAGGAGACUGUUUGAGCCCAUACAAAGACUUAUGUAGUUUACACACUUUACUGCUGCCAUGAUUUCCCCCAAAACCUGGUGGUAAAUCCAUAAAGACUUCUUCUUCUAGCUCCCCAUUCAGAAAAGCAUUUUUAACAUCUAACUGGUAUAGAUUCCAAUCAGAAUGUACAGCCAAUGAGAUAAGGACCCGGAUGGAAUUUAUCUUUGCAACGGGGGCAAAGGUUUCUUGAUAAUCAAUUCCAUAAGUUUGAGUGAACCCUUUUGCUACAAGCCUUGCCUUAUAUCUCUCAACACUCCCAUCAGCAUUACAUUUAAGUGUAAACACCCACUUACAACCCACAGUUUUCUUUUCUUUUGGUAAAUCCACAAUCUCCCACGUACCAUUCUUCUUUAGAGCAUUCAUUUCCUCUAAAACUGCUAACUUCCAAUCUGGAUGGUCUAGGGCUUCUUUUAUGGUUCUAGGAAUUGGUAUCUGAGAGAUUUUUGUGGUAAAGGCUCUUUGUUUAUUGGACAACUUUUCAUAGGAAACAUAUCUAGCAAUGGGGUGCUUAGUACAGGUUCGGAUUCCUUUCCUAUGUGCUAUGGGUAAGUCAAGAUCAGGAAAAAAAAUGCUGGAAUGUUUAGGAGAAGAAAUGUUACCUGAAUUUUCUGAGGAAUCAGUGCUUGGAGGCGACGAUUGAGGCUGUACCGAGUUUAUGGGAGGGUCUUUACUGCUGUGAUGAUACUUUCGAGUAUAAACACGAAGCUCUGGUGGUGGAAUUUUAUCUUGUAGUAUUUCUCCCCCUGUCUCUGGUACAUUAACACUUGGUUCCUGUAGUUCAAGGUUUCCUAGUUUUUCAUUAUUAGAAAUAUCAGUUUUUUGAGUUUGAGUUGAAGUGCCCAGAUCAGGUAAAAAAGGAUUAGGCAUAGGUGUAGAAGUAUGCCAAAGAUUAGGCAUAGGUGUAGAAGUAUGCCAAAAAUGAUCUUCACUAUUUUCUUUCUCCCACUGAAGAGAAUUUUGGCCAAAAAAGGGUUGAUUUUCGAGAAAUAUAACAUCCAUACUGACAUGGAAUUUCUUUGUUUGAGGAUUGAAACAUUUGUAACCUUUUUUAUUAGGAGCAUAGCCCAAGAAAACACAUUUUUCAGAUCUAGGAUCCAAUUUAGAUCUAAGAUGGUUAGGAACAUGAACAAACACAGUGCACCCAAAGACUCUUAACUGAAUAUUGGAGGUAAUCCUACUAGAAGGAUAUAUAAGUGUGAAGUAUUCUAAAGGUGAUUGAUACUUUAAAACACGGGUAGGCAUCCUAUUAAUCAAAUAACAUGCUGUUAAAACAGCAUCACCCUACAAAUAUUUAGGAACAUGCAUAGAGAGCAUGAUAGCCCGACUAACUUCAAGUAAAUGGCGGUUUUUCCGUUCCGCAAUUCCAUUUUGUUGUGGAGUAUCACAACAAGUGGAUGUGUGAAUUAUACCCUUUUCCUUACAAAACACCUCUAGAUAAUUAUUAAAAUAUUCAGUACCAUUAUCUGUAUGGAGUAGGCUUAUUUUUGUUUGAAAAUGAUUUUCAACCAUGUUAUAAAAAUCUUUGAAUAACCCCUCAACUUCAGAUUUUUCUCUCAUUAAAUAAACCCAACAAAGCCGAGUAUGAUCAUCUAUGAAUGUUACAAACCAUUUUUUUCCAGUUAAAGUGUUGAUUUUUGAGGGUCCCCAAACAUCACUAUGAAUUAAAUAAAAAGGUUUUGAGGCACGAUAAGUAAGUGCUUUAUAUGAAAUUCGAUGACUUUUAGAUAAAAAACAACUUUCACACUGAAAAGUAGUACAAUCAACAUUUUUAAAUAAAUCUGGAAACAAAUAUUUCAAAUAAGGAAAGCUAGGAUGUCCUAGUCUAAGGUGCCAAAGCAUUAUUUGAUCCCUAGCAGAGUUUGAACUAAUACUACUGUUCAAACCUUGAGCUUGUUUAUUCCUUGAUAAGUAGUCAUCAAAAUAGUAAAGACCUUCUCGCAAACUAGCACUGCCAAUCAUCGUCCCCAAGUCCCUGUCCUGAAAUUCACAAUGGGAGUCAAAAAAGACAGCACAACAAUUAGAAUCUUUGGUUAAUUUACUGACAGAUAACAGAUUGCAAGAAAGUUUAGGGACAUGUAGCACAUUUUUAAGCUCAAUGGUUCCAGAGAUUUUUAUUGAUCCUUUUCCAGCUAUGGAAGAUAAGCUUCCAUCAGCAACUCUUACCUUUUUGUUACCAGGGCAAGGAUAAUAGGAAUCAAAUAAACUAGAAAUACUAGUCAUAUGAUCAGAAGCACCCGAAUCAAUAAUCCAUGGUGCAGUAGUUGAGUGGCUAAAUAGAGCAUUAAUAAUACUACCUGUUUGGGCUAGUGAACCACUAGGAGUAGCAGUAGUUGAACCACUAGGAGUAGAGGAAAUUUGGUCAGACAUGGUAGGGAAGAGAUCAGAAAGAAAGGGAGCUUAGCUCUGAUACCAUGUGAAAAUAGGUAGAGAAAAAGUUUAUGGAACAAUUCUUAAUUUUAUUACUUCAUGAGAUUGUACACAGUCUUAAUAUAGGGAUACAAGAGACUAAGAAAGGAAAGGAAAAAAAUUAAAGCAGAAUAUUACACACUGAUUUCUAGGAAGCAAUAACUCUAUAUUUACACCAAAUAUACACCUAAAUAUAUAAGGAAAACCAAAUCACAAUUUGAUUUGGUCAACCUUUCAACAUUAUCCAAUAAAUGAAUGACACAACAAUUGGGACUCAACUGUUGGGAUCCAUAAUAUUAUUGUUAUUGUACCAGUAUCUUUUUACGUCUUUUAACUUGAGCUAAUUUUCCAUGUGUGAGAGUCUCCUGGCAAAAGAUUCACGUACCAAAUUAUUGUUAAUUUUUGGCAUUUCUCAUAUUUCAAAAAUAUAGAUGGCUGUCAAUCUAUUUUAAAAAUUUAUCCUUGAGUUUGGUAUUUUAUCAGUGUGAUAUCACAGUUCCUGCACUCGAUGACCGUUAUAGUUGACAUCCACUGCAUUUGACCAUCUGUUUGUGCAAAACUUGUCAUUAUUUAUAGAUUAAGAUUUUUUGUUGAUUUUAAAAUUUUCACAUCAGGCAUUGCAAUUAUUGGGAGAACAAUGAUGUUAGUUGAGUAAUAUCACCAAAGAGAAAAAAGACAGGCUGAAAAUUGUUGUAUCCAUGACUCAUAAAGUACAAGAAAUCUAUAGGACUAGAACAUUAUUUUGAUGAUAUAAAAGUAUAGUGAAUGAGAGCAACUAGUGAUAUCCUUUGUUUCAUAUUUUGGCUUUAUACUAAAGUGGGAGCAUAGAUUUUUGGAAUACCUAGCUUGGAAUCAGGAUAUAUAAUGGUUCUUUUGUGCACAACACUGAUAAGAAUGUCUUGACUUGGAUCUUCUGAUGUGGUAUAAGGUGUAACGCUAGUGAAUAGUAUACGGACUCUAAAUAUUAUACUCCUCUCUGUUGUUAAGUUGCCACAAGGUAGGCCAAUUGCCAAAGGAUAUAAAGACUGAAAAAUUUUAAGAUAAUCAACUCCAUAAGUUUUUGAGUGUAUCCUUCAGCUACUAGUCGGACCUUUAGCCUGUCCAUAGUGCCAUUUUCAAAAGACCUAGAUUUGUGUAAAAAGUUCAAUAGAAGUUCCAUAGACUUAAGAGGCUGUUUUGGGUUAAUCUAAUUUUACUUCAACAGUCCUCUUCAUUCUGUUUGGUAUCAGAUCAAUUGAAAGAAGGCUAGAACAAACAGUUUUUGACCGAAUGUUAGAACCAAGUAAAUUUUGGUUGUUUUUACAUGUUCUUACUUUUGGGAAUGGAGUUUCUGUUGGCCUUCUUAGGAAAAGUUUGUUGGAAAAAAUGCCUUUUUGAUUUUAAAUAUUUUCACUUCAACGGUCCUCCUCGCUAGUUUUCCCAAUGUCCCCAAAUGUUCUGCAACUUGGUGGUGCUACAACAUAAUGAGCUUUCAUUUCUUGUUCAAUAGCCAACCUCGAAUUGGAUGAUGUAUAGCUUUUUGAUAAUUUGUAGGCAAGACGAAGGGAACUAGAAAAACUAUGAACUGAAAUAGAAUGAGCAAAAAAAUACCUUGUAGGUGCUUCUGUCUACAACUGAACCUUUUCUAAGAGCAGCAUGAAAAUCAAGAUGAAAAAUUUUAGUUGUAGCUUGAUGAGGAUGAUCCCAGAUGGAGGUAGUCUCUUGAAUGGAGGAUUGGGCUAAAGGAGAAGGAUCACCUCGUUAGUAGGUUGCUGUUUAGUUUUCCUACAGGAACAUACUAAAAGACAAAAAACACAAACUCCAAUGCACAUAUGUACCUGUAUGGUUUUAUCUAUUGAAACAACUGGAGGAAGAAUUUCAACAGAGCCAAAAAUAAAUUCAGGUUCCAGAAUGUGAAAAUAAGGAUAUGGAACAUGUUAUAUCAGCACUAGCAUGAGUUUCCUGAGAAGUGUGAUUAAGAAACUUUAUCUUUUUGUGUCCUGGAAUAACCAAGAAAGAUACUGUUGAAUCUUUAAUGGCUUAACGAGUCAAUUCUUCAAGAACUUGAUGAACUGAACCAGAUUAAAGCUAAUCCGAACAGCGAACACAGAACCCAGAAUCAAGAACAAACAGAAUAACCUUGUUUCACACAGCCAAGAUUAGAAGGAAAAACCCACUCGUUUUAUUGAUCAAAACACUUAAGAUACAAAGUGGACCUACAGAAGAGAUUGCAAAGGUUACAAAGAAACAAAUCCUAUGCAAUUUGGUCAACAAAUGAAGAAGAUAACAAGUUCAUAUCAGGCGCUGUUCAUCAGCCCCAUUUAUUCUGAUAUUUCCGGGCAAGCAGAUUCAGCGUAAAAUAUUAAUAAGACCCCAUCAACUAAAGUCAACCUCACAAUGACCCCGUAAGUUCUUCAUGAUUUGCAUUUGAGUCCAAAAACUCAGGUGCUAACAUCUUCACAGAUACAUUUGGUUGACUUAGGGAAAGUCUAUAAGGUAUAACAUGGACAAGGCAAACGACCAAAUAUACAUUGUGAGAAAGAAAGUAGAGUUUUGUUGUGAAAUAAAAUAAAAUAUGCUGCUCCAAAGUUAAGUGAUGAUCGUAGUAGUCUUGUUUAUUAGUAGCAAGCAGUGAGAAGAGCUUCUCCAAAAUCUUCAUGGGACAAUUUUAUGGAGAAGAAUAGUUCUUGAUGUCUAACAAUGCCUAUAAUUUAUUUCAGCUACUCCAUUUUCCAAUGGAGUUGAGGACAGGAAUUUUGAAGUAUCAUAUUUUGAAGUUGGAACUGACAAUAUUCUAGGGCAAUUGAUUACAAAGAGUUUCAUCAGAAACAAUGGUGGAGUCUUUAUUUCAAUAAAAGUGUAGUUUUUGUUUUGAUAAAUAUUUAUUAGUAAAAUAUGAAAUUGUCCCAUGAAGAUUAGUAAAAUAUUUAUUUGUAAAAUAACCAUGUAGUUUGUUAAUGAUUAUCAAGACAAAAUAUUUAACCACAUGGAAGUUAUGAACUAUUCAGGGACCUAAGGACCGAGUGUCUGAAAAAAUUGUGAUGCACAGUAAUUCUAUUAACUCAUGAGGGACAUGAAGAUGUUUUCCUAGUUGACAAAACUAGAAUUGCCUAACCUAUUUCACCAAAUGAUGAAACAGUUGAGGGCGAGGAUGACCUAAUAGGUAAUGCCAUUGUUCUGAAGAAACCACUGAGAAAAGAAAAAGUGUGCUGGAUAAUAAACAUGGUGCAGAAAUCUGACAGAGUCCGUUUAUCUCAUUUCCUUCACCAGUUUGUCUUUCUUGUAUCAAGAUCUUGAAAAUCACCAUUAGAUGAUAAAAAAAGAAAAGGAUUGAAAAUUUCUUUAGCUGACUUAGUAACAGAGAAAUUGAAAAUUUAGGGACAGAGAACUGAGGAAACAGAAAUGAUAGAAUUGACAAAAAUUGUUCCUACUCCUGAACUGGCCACUUAUGCCAUCUGCCAAGACUACUAAGGGUGCUUUGUUGGAAGGAAAAUAAAAACUAAAUUUGGAGUGGUAGCAGUCAUAUAAGAUGAAUUACCAGUGUCCAUUACCCAAGGAAUAGGAUCGGAAGUUGCACUUGAAGUAUUGAUGAUUGGCUUCCUCAUAUGGGUUCACAUGAGUUUGUUAAAUAAAAGUAGAAGCAGGAGUUGUCAGUGCAGAGGGAUUUUCUCUUUUUCAAUGAGAAGUUGAAUUUUCAUUUUAUAUAAUAGUGGAUCUGAUCAUAGUCAACGUUGUAACUGAAACCCAGGUGCUACGACAAAUGAAAAAGGGAUGCAGUGAUACUAAAAUCCUGUCAAAAACCAACCACUAAAAGAUUGACAAUCUCUCAGCCUCAUCAUAAGUUUUACAUGUCAACAAAUCUAUGGUGCGUUUAUUUGCUGGAGUAGUAAUGGGGAGUGUAGAUUUUUCCUACUCUGGUGUUUACUUGCGCAUUUAAGGAGAGUAAGAGUCCCAC
This 8172-nucleotide long non-coding RNA is filed under the name Citrus maxima (pomelo). RNAcentral describes it as "long non-coding RNA (CMAX_LNC001352)". The record is from RNAcentral. Lineage: Eukaryota; Viridiplantae; Streptophyta; Magnoliopsida; Sapindales; Rutaceae.